Molecule: ribosomal RNA, 253 nt
Filed under: uncultured bacterium
Lineage: Bacteria
Description: partial 16S ribosomal RNA
Rfam family: Bacterial small subunit ribosomal RNA
Source: RNAcentral
GACGUAGGGCGCGAGCGUUGUCCGGAUUUAUUGGGCGUAAAGAGCUCGUAGGCGGCUUGUCGCGUCGGCUGUGAAAUCCCGUGGCUCAACUGCGGGUCUGCAGCCGAUACGGGCAGGCUAGAGUUCGGUAGGGGAGACUGGAAUUCCUGGUGUAGCGGUGAAAUGCGCAGAUAUCAGGAGGAACACCGGUGGCGAAGGCGGAUCUCUGGGCCUGUCCUGACGCUGAGGCGCGAAAGCUAGGGGAGCGAACAGG